RNA transcript from Macrobrachium nipponense, 2134 nucleotides. RefSeq lists it as uncharacterized. The transcript has 10 exons. The record is from RefSeq and is a predicted model, not a curated record. Lineage: Eukaryota; Metazoa; Arthropoda; Malacostraca; Decapoda; Palaemonidae.
AUGGCGGAGAACGUAUUACUACCAGUCCCUUGGGAAUGGAAGUACUGCUUCAGUAUCCGCCAUCUAGCUCAUUUUUAAUAUCUGUGGAUCUUGUUUUGAUUACCUGUGCAGUCAGCUGAAAGAAGAACGUCAGUUGUAAACAAACCUGGGAGAACGUUUGACUUGGCUGACACAUCUUUGGUUUUGAUGGAUACCUAACUUCACUCCUGUUAUUUAUCAUCAGCAUUUCAGGUCAUAUUGAGAAAUCCAAAUGAAACAGCUUAUCGAGUGUUUGAAAUAGAGGCUUUCAAUAAGGUUUACCGACCAGCAUUGGAUAAUCCAAGAAGUUGAGGUUCUGAGGUACAUGAACAACAGGAGGGGUGGCUAGCAAGUUAUUGUGGUGUGGAUAAUCUCAAUAAGGAAGCAUUCAGUCUGCUGUUUAGACCUUGGAACCGGAAAGACCAGUUGAAGAUAAGAAAAUGGAUGUGGAGGAGAGUGAAAUGAUAUCCUGCAUCCGUCAGAAGGCUCGCAUUUCCGGUCAAGCUUUCCGUGUAAAAAGAAGAAAAGAGUUGCAUGCCUCUCAUCGGCUGGACCUAGAUAAAGUAGCUGAAGAGGUACAGAUCCCGGAUUUAGAUGAAAUUUACAAGCUGAGCAUCCAGCUUAAGAAAAAGAAGAGCCUUCAUAUCCUGCAUAAAUUGCGUAUGGGUCUGAGUGUUGGUGGCAACAGUAUAACUGUAUUUCUAAGUACUGAUGGGGCCUUGUAUGCACUUGUUAGUUGCUUUUCAGGCAACUCUGCAGAAGUGAAGAGAGAGGCAAUGAAUGUCUUCAUAAAUCUUGGUCUUGGAACUCCUGAACAGUGCUUGGAUUUGUACAAACGAUAUUCAGUUUAUCUCAUGAUUCACAUGAAUGGCAGAUGUGCAGAGUCACAGGAUGCUGUUGCUUGGUGCCUUGGUAACUUUUGUUUGAACAACGAGGAAUUGUGUUAUGAAAUGAAAUUGCUUGGAGUUGAUGGACACCUUACAGAGCUCUUGGGAUCCCGUAUUUGUCGUAUAGUGCAGUCUGCUUCGUAUGCCCUUACACAUUAUUAUGCAACAGUUCCUGAUAUGUUGAAAUAUGUCAGUGUUGAUGACAUUGUACGGAAAGCUAUUGAUGGUCUAGAGAGUUUUGAUGAUGGUGUAGAUGAAAUUGCAUGGCUCAUGUUUGUGAUGUCAUGUGAUCAGUUGGGCUGUGAAUAUUUGUUAUGUCAGGGUGUCAUACCUGCUGCUAUGGGUGCCUUACAAAAGCUGAUUAACCGACAGAGUUUAUUGGUGUCUCCAGUAACAGGACUUCUCCGUGUACUUUUGAAUUGUUUAGGAGCGUGUCCUAGGUCUGCACAUCAGGCCAUGUUGUGGAAGAACAGAAUUUACGUCAAAGACUAGAAGCUCCAAUACGCAGUGCACUAGCGGCAAAUUUCACCAUUGAAACUUCUACUAUUAGUACAAAUUUUAGUGAAGGGGUGUGACAAGAGUAAUUGGGAUAGUGAAGAGCUGAAUAUUAUUGUGAAAAGGUGUGGCUGUGCAGGCGCUUGCUGGGAUCCUACUUUGUUCAUGGUAGAUCAUUAUUAGGUGUCAAUUUCAGAAUGUUAUUUGAAUGGAAAUACGCUUUGGAUGUACACAAUUCAUCCAUUUAUAAAGUAAUGAAAUUAUAAACCGCAAAUAACAAGACCUAUAAAUAUAAUUUCAUAAAGGCAAUUAUGAUAGCCAUUGACAGGUCAUGAUGUGGAAGGCUUUCAGGAAAAAUUAUAGACCACCAGAUGUAUAAAGGAACUAAUGUAUCCAGUGUGUCACUCAAUACCUGUUUUUUAUUAGAGCCACUUCUCACCAGAGUAGCGUAGAUGGAAAUUUCUUUGGCCAGUAUUCAACUUGAGUCAUCUGAGUAAUAACACACCUUAACCACCCUGAUGGUCCUUAUAUACCAACCCAAGAGUGGAUAAAAAGGAAUAGUUUGCAGUCGAUAUGAGUUUUCAUUUCAGCCUUUCGUCUCUUGGGAUUCAUGACUGGAUUUCUUGUCGCUUCAAUCUCGAAUUUGUCGACUAUUUAUGAUCCUGUGGAUUUGUCAGUUCAAUGAAUUCAAGAUAAAAUUGGCUAUUUUUACGUCCUUGUCCAUUAAUUUUUUU